AUGUUGCUUCCUAAUUGCCCAAGUCUUCACCCUGCUCCACAGUCUCCAUCCUGCUGGAUCCCAUUCUCUUCUGACCAAUGUGGCAUUUUUCUGGUUACCUCAAUCCUUGGAACACUGCAGAGCUUCUUGGAAAAGAUCCAUGAUCAUUCAAGAGUUUGUUUGACCAUCCAAGGAGGAAAGAUCAAAUGGAUGAAAAAUGAAUGUUAAUUGCUCAGACUAUGAUAUGCAUUUAGAUAGAUACCCUAUAGAACUUGUCCACAAUCUGUAAAUCUGGGACAGAAAAUAUAAUUGGAUAGUGAACUUGGACUGGACCUUCUCUAGUGCAGAGUUGGGAGGAAGGAAAACAGUUUAGAACUUAAAAUGUAACCCCCCCAAACUCCAAAUAUAAAAAAAAGAAAAAGAAAUGGACUGAGUUUGAACUAGAAAUAGAGAAUGGCCUGGGUUGCCUUUGGGGACCUAUAAGCUUUCCAAGCUUUCCAGGGAAACAAAAAUCCAUCUUUUUUUAAUGACAUUAUUCUACUAGCAUUGCUGUAUGGCGGAGAAUUGGAAUACAAGAGUGUCCAAAGUAUUAAAGAUGAAUAUAAGACUGUAGGUUAUGUGUGAGUAGGUUGCAACAUAUAACCAAUGAGAGACUUUGAAGAAUAGGAGUAAAUUAUAUCAAACAAAUGGGCCGGUCAUCUGGUGAGAGUAAGAUAGACAAGUUGACAACUAGAGAACUCUACUUUUAUCUUUGAGAUGUCUGGAGAAAUCAAGGAAGGCCUCAAGUGUGCUGAGUGGACAGUUCCCCCACCACCAUGGCAAAUUUAUGGGAGGACAAAGACAAAAUUGAAUGACAUGGACAAAGCAUAGAUAGAUUGAAAUUGAAUGAUGAGACAGAACUCCCAAAUCAAUGAGUUUGAAGACCCUUUGGAGCAUGGGAAUAUUGUUUCAGCUCUAAAUUUCUAUAAUCCUAGAUUGUUAUCCUAUAUACAAUGCACAUAAUGUUUUUUAAUGAAUAAUAACAUAUUUGCAAGGCUUUUUAUACUUGACAAAAUAACUUCCUACAUAUUGUUCCUUCUUUAAAGUGAAACAAUACAAAAUAUUGGGACCUAAAGAGCUUAAGUAAUGCACUUGAAGCCAUGGCACCAGUUAAUGAUAGAACCAGCGCUGAGGCUCAGGUCUCCUGAUUCUUAAUUCUAUGUUUUUUAUACCACUCACCCAGAGAAAU
RNAcentral lists this long non-coding RNA (1207 nucleotides) under Monodelphis domestica (gray short-tailed opossum). RNAcentral describes it as "lncRNA (ENSMODG00000041239.1)". Lineage: Eukaryota; Metazoa; Chordata; Mammalia; Didelphimorphia; Didelphidae. The record is from RNAcentral.